This 266-nucleotide microRNA precursor is filed under the name Saccharum officinarum (sugarcane). RNAcentral describes it as "miR159b stem-loop (sof-MIR159b)". Its record names the gene sof-MIR159b. It matches the Rfam family "MIR159 microRNA precursor family". The record is from miRBase by way of RNAcentral. Lineage: Eukaryota; Viridiplantae; Streptophyta; Magnoliopsida; Poales; Poaceae.
CCUGAUGCUUGGAUUUGAAGCGGAGCUCCUAUCAUUCCAAUGAAGGGCCGUUCUGAAGGGUGGUUCCGCUGCUCGUUCAUGGUUCCCACUAUCCUAUCUCAUCAUGUAUGUGUGUAUGUAUUUUCGGAGAGGGAGGAGAGGAGCUAGACUCUCACGGUGGUCGUCUUUGAGAUAGGCUUGUGGUUUGCAUGACCGAGGAGCUGCACCGUCCCCUUGCUGGCCGCUCUUUGGAUUGAAGGGAGCUCUGCAUCCUGAACCAUCCAUCC